This 801-nucleotide ribosomal RNA is filed under the name uncultured bacterium. RNAcentral's name for it is "bacterial SSU rRNA". It matches the Rfam family "Bacterial small subunit ribosomal RNA", at positions 8 to 796 of the family's 1533-position model. The record is from RNAcentral.
AGAGUUUGAUCAUGGCUCAGGACGAACGCUGGCGGCGUGCUUAACACAUGCAAGUGGAGCGACGAACCGGGCUUCGGCCCGGGGCAAAGCCGCGAACGGGUGAGUAUCACGUGGGUAACCUGCCCCGAUGACCGGGACAACCCGAGGAAACUCGGGCUAAUACCGGAUGUGCUCCCAAUCCACAGGGUUGGGAACAAAGGAAGCUUCGGCCUCCGCAUUGGGAUGGGCCCGCGGCCCAUUAGCUUGUUGGUGAGGUAAUGGCUCACCAAGGCGACGAUGGGUAGCUGGUCUGAGAGGACGAUCAGCCACACUGGGACUGAGACACGGCCCAGACUCCUACGGGAGGCAGCAGUGGGGAAUCUUGCGCAAUGCGCGAAAGCGUGACGCAGCAACGCCGCGUGAGGGAAGAAGGCCUUCGGGUUGUAAACCUCUUUCAGGAGGGACGAAGGUUCAGGCGCGAACAGCGUCCUGGACUGACGGUACCUCCAGAAGAAGCCCCGGCUAACUACGUGCCAGCAGCCGCGGUAAUACGUAGGGGGCUAGCGUUGUCCGGAAUCAUUGGGCGUAAAGCGCGCGUAGGCGGCCCGGUAAGUCCGCUGUGAAAGUCAAAGGCUCAACCUUUGAAUGUCAGCGGAUACUGCCGGGCUAGAGUCCGGAAGAGGCGAGUGGAAUUCCUGGUGUAGCGGUGGAAUGCGCAGAUAUCAGGAGGAACACCAACGGCGAAGGCAGCUAGCUGGGACGGUACUGACGCUGAGGCGCGAAAGCGUGGGGAGCGAACAGGAUUAGAUACCCUAGUAGUCC